CUUAACAAUUCAUGCAAAGUUUAAAAUAGAAUUAUUACCACCUGAAUUUAUUCAAGUUCAUGUUACCAAAAAUGGAAGGAUUACGUGCACCUCCCAUGUGCUCAAUCAGCUAAACGGUCGCAUUGAAGAAUCACUUCAAGAAAUUUAUUUAAUGUCAAGCGUAGUACUUCGAGAAACGGUCGAAAUAAUAAGAAUGCAAAUUGGGUGUU
Long non-coding RNA from Zophobas morio, 209 nucleotides. RefSeq lists it as uncharacterized. The transcript has 4 exons. NCBI's taxonomy places the organism in Eukaryota, Metazoa, Arthropoda, Insecta, Coleoptera, Tenebrionidae. The record is from RefSeq and is a predicted model, not a curated record.